CACUUCCAGAAUAUAUGAUAUGGCCAGUUUCAUCCGCAAAACAUACUGUGUUAACAUCAGACUGAUGGGCAUGGAUUCGGAGGCUAUUCUUAUUUGCCUCAAGAUCAUAAACAUAUAUUGCAUUAUCACUACUUCCAGCUACAAGUUCUCGCCCAUCUGUUGAAAAUUUCACAGAGAAGAUCCCAAACUCAUACUCAUCAUCAUCAUCUUCUUCAUUCCAAGAAAAAU
This 228-nucleotide unclassified non-coding RNA is filed under the name Hevea brasiliensis (rubber tree). Lineage: Eukaryota; Viridiplantae; Streptophyta; Magnoliopsida; Malpighiales; Euphorbiaceae. The record is from RNAcentral.